RNAcentral lists this ribosomal RNA (253 nucleotides) under uncultured bacterium. RNAcentral's name for it is "partial 16S ribosomal RNA". It matches the Rfam family "Bacterial small subunit ribosomal RNA", at positions 524 to 776 of the family's 1533-position model. The record is from RNAcentral.
UACAGAGGUCUCAAGCGUUGUUCGGAAUCACUGGGCGUAAAGGGUGCGUAGGCGGCGGGGAAAGUCAGAUGUGAAAUCCGGAGGCUCAACCUCCGAAUUGCAUCCGAUACUCCCUCGCUAGAGAUUUGUAGAGGAGCUUGGAAUUCUCGGUGUAGCAGUGAAAUGCGUAGAUAUCGAGAAGAACGCUCGCAGCGAAAGCGAAGCUCUGGGCAAAUUCCGACGCUGAUGCACGAAGGCUAGGGGAGCAAACGGG